This 253-nucleotide ribosomal RNA is filed under the name uncultured bacterium. RNAcentral's name for it is "partial 16S ribosomal RNA". It matches the Rfam family "Bacterial small subunit ribosomal RNA", at positions 524 to 776 of the family's 1533-position model. The record is from RNAcentral.
UACGUAGGUGGCAAGCGUUGUCCGGAAUUAUUGGGCGUAAAGCGCGCGCAGGCGGUCCUUUAAGUCUGAUGUGAAAGCCCACGGCUCAGCCGUGGAGGGUCAUUGGAAACUGGGGGACUUGAGUGCAGAAGAGGAAAGCGGAAUUCCACGUGUAGCGGUGAAAUGCGUAGAGAUGUGGAGGAACACCAGUGGCGAAGGCGGCUUUCUGGUCUGUAACUGACGCUGAGGCGCGAAAGCGUGGGGAGCAAACAGG